This 253-nucleotide ribosomal RNA is filed under the name uncultured bacterium. RNAcentral describes it as "partial 16S ribosomal RNA". It matches the Rfam family "Bacterial small subunit ribosomal RNA", at positions 524 to 776 of the family's 1533-position model. The record is from RNAcentral.
UACAGAGGGUGCGAGCGUUAAUCGGAAUUACUGGGCGUAAAGGGCGCGUAGGCGGUUACAAGAGUGUGAUGUGAAAGCCCCGGGCUUAACCUGGGAAGUGCAUCGCAAACGCUGUAACUGGAGUAUAAGAGAGGGUGGCGGAAUUUCCGGUGUAGCGGUGAAAUGCGUAGAGAUCGGAAGGAACGUCAAUGGCGAAGGCAGCCACCUGGCUUAAUACUGACGCUGAGGCGCGAAAGCGUGGGGAGCGAACAGG